Carya illinoinensis is the source of this 7921-nucleotide long non-coding RNA. RefSeq lists it as uncharacterized. Lineage: Eukaryota; Viridiplantae; Streptophyta; Magnoliopsida; Fagales; Juglandaceae. The transcript is spliced from 5 exons. The record is from RefSeq and is a predicted model, not a curated record.
UUGAUCAGAUUAACGGGACACUUUUCUUAUUUAAUUAACAGGUUUUGUUUAGUAGCGUAGAAAGAAAUGCUUUUAUUUACAAUAACCUCACUGCUUUGGUGUUAAUUUCAUGUUCACACUUUUUAUGAAUUUGACGUGCUGCUCUAUCGGAAGAUGCACUCUACUUGUUUGUUCAAGGUUUGAAAAGAAUGCACUCUACUCUUCUCUAUCGGAAUGAUCUGCACUUGAGCAUAAAAUGAGUUCAGUUGCAACCAUAAAGUGCAUGAAUAAAGUACUUCACUUGAGUUAAAAUGUUGGGGUCGGAAUCAGCUUUUAUCACUCACAUAUGUUGAUCGAUUAAUAUAUUGAAAUAGGGAAAAAAAAUUUCAGACAACGUAUAUGCAUGUACUUAUUUGUUGUAAACUUUAUACCAUGUAAAAAUAUUAGACUUCAUAUAAUUAUCUUGUAUGUGGUAAAUGGGAAACCGGGCCAACUUGGACUCACUUUAGCUAUUGAAGAUCUUGGCAGUAUAAUGGGCUAUUUAUGAAGUUCGACUAUGUUUCUUUUUUAACUUUCAUUGAAGUAUUGGCCAUGCUUUUUUACUUGGUUGAUUCACAGAUUUUUGUUUACCAUAGAUAGCUUUCAAACCUCCUAUGCCUUUCUUUCCAUGUUUUAGUAGCAUUAAUUCUUGGGUAAGUGGAGAGUCUAAAUGCCACCACUUCAAAAUUAUAUAGCUUAAGGUUUUGGAUUUAGGCUCAAAAAGUUGGUGCUUUCUUCCUUUUAAUUAGUUGUGUUAUGUAUUUGGUAUGUCUGCACCUGUAAGUGGGCUUAUACAAUGCAGUUGCAGUUGAAUUUUAUACAAUGCAAUGGACUAAGCUCAUAUGUAUAUUAUCAGACCAUGGUCUUAUGCAUUUGAUAUAUAUAUAUAUAUAUUGUUUUAAAUUGCUUGGCAGCUUCUGUUGGCUAUUAAACUAAUACCUAGUAUUUUUGAGGUAUGAAAUGCCCAAAUCUGUAUGGCUUGUAUCACUGUUUCCCUUGAUGGCAUUGAGCAGCUAAUAGACUACGUAUGAGGAAUUAAGGAAUUUGUCUACAUCUGAAUAAUGGGAACUUCGAAAUGGUUAGAUAUGGGAUGUGGGAAGUGGAAGGCUAAAAUUCACACUAACAGGACACAUUGAACAAAUACGAGGCCUUGCUGUCAACAACAAACAUACUUACAAGUUUUCUGCUGGUGAUGACAAACUAGUGAAAUGAUGGGACCUUGAGCAGAAUAAGCCUUACACCCUAUACGUGAUUGUGUUAAUGGUGGACCAUGAAGAAACAAGUGACAGAUCCUGGUCUCAUGACUGCCCAGUUUACUGCUGCAGGUGGUUGUGUGUGGGGCCAAAUAUGAUGUUUGCCUUGCUCAUCUGAGUGUCUUCCUUGACAGAUCUUUAUUGGAACAGUGAUGAAUAAACACAAGUUAGAACAACUGUUUUUUUCCUCUUGUUUGUGUUCUCUGACUUUUGCAACAGUUUUGUAUUGGCUAAUCUCUAAUAAUGAAAAAAACAGCUGGACAUGGGCAGAGAGUCUGAUAAUUAAAGCUGGUACGUGUGAUGGUUUGACAUUUUUAAAUCUUCUACUCCCGCAAACUAUGGCUGUCUAAGAUAUGUGUGAAUCAUGAUCAUAUGCCCAUCUGGUAAGUGAUUAAUUCUCUGUUUAUUGUACUUUUUAUUCUGAUUUUUUUAAAAGGAAUUCAUCAAAAUUUUUUUUUUUUAAAAGGACUUUUCUUAGAUUUGUCUAGGUUUUUGUUCUACAAAAAUUAAUUCAAUCGAUUUUGAUGCUUUUAGGUCUCUCUCUAUCAAUUUUUACUAGGUGAUGUUGAUCUCUAUUCUUGUGGUUCAAAUUUGUUUUGAGGCUAAACUUCUUUUACUUUUAACAUGACCUUCAGAGUGCCUUAAAUAAUAGACAAUGUAGACUUCUAUGACAAAAGUUUCAGUACAUUUGGGAAUAAGAGGUGUAGUUUAUUGCUUAUUGCAUGUUUUUGGGUCAUUCAGUUACAGAUCUUCAGGUUCUUAAAUAAAAUCUCAACCUUUUGCUUAAGGUUUCUGAUUUAUUUGUUGGUGUGGUGCGUUGAUUAUCUUUGUUUCUUAAUUGGUUAUGAGCAAGUCAAUUUUCUAGCAAAAAGCAGGCUGUGUUUGGAUGUGUAUAUCGUUUCUUGUAUUUGGUUGGCCACAUUCACAUCGUUACUUUUUGAAUGCUAUGUAAAACUUGACGGAGCCAAGUGAAUCCAAGCUUUGUUCAAACCUGGCCACACUUUAUUUGAUGUGGAUAUUCUCAUUAUAUAUAUGUUUGAACCUACAGUUGUAAACAAUUUUGUAUGAGAGGCUGUGCUUCUCCUUGAAGUCUUUCCUGAAUAUUCGAAUCUGCCUGUCUGACUCUUGGUGGAACUUUUUUCCAAUCGGCAAGCCACAAGUGUGCUUGGGUGGAACUUCACUCUCCUUUGAGAUGGAGGGGAGGUCUCAUUUGAGUUAGUUUCUCAUUGGCAUGUCUGUCAUUUUUAAUGAUAUGAAACCAAAUAGAUAAUGUAGUUUUUCAUCGAUGCUAGACCUAUUGAUUUUGAUUUUGUUCUCUAAACCUUAGUAAUUGAUUACGUUAUCUUUGAGACUAGUCUUUUUCCUUUUGCCCACCUCAUUAGGAAAAAGGAGAUAACAUUUAUGCAUCCAACAAUUUUUGGAGAAAAUUAUAAACUUUGAUGGUGAAAUCCCACUUCUUUUCUCAGUUAGCAUGUGUCAUAGUCCACGAAUGGAAUGCUUGGGCCAGGCUUAGGCUAAGUCUAAUAGGGCCUGAUUUACUUAAUUGUCAUCAUGUUAGGGAGUGAGCCGCAGAGUAGCUGGUGAUUUACUUAAUUGUCAUCAUGUUAGGGAGUGGGCCGUAGGUUAGCUGGGCCUUAGUUGGUUUGUUUUCUUUUGUUAAGUUGCUUAGUAGUCAUGGGUCAUAUUGGAGCAAGGCUGAGGCCUUCUUAUCCAGUGUUUUGCGUUUUAGCAUAUAAUGGUACUGUAGCUAUUGAAAAUGGAUAUCCAUAAACUUAAUACAAUAUUUUCCUACUUAUGAUCUCUAUCUCUUUUCUUUCGGAGACUUGGUCAACCUCGAAUCUGACAAUUAUCUUUACAUUUUGUCUCAUAUUUUCUAGUUAUCCAAACACUACCCAUCAGGUGUGUUACAAGUGGUAUCCAGAGCCAAGCUUUCAUUGGCAGCUACUUCAUCAAUCCUAGAAAUGGAAGAAAUUAUCUCAUCAUUACUUAAAAUUAAAGAGAUGGUCAAGCAAUCGCAACAACAUUUUGAAGUUAUUUUGUAGAAAUUCAAAGAUGUCGAGAAUAAUUUUCAAGGCUUUAGGAACAACUUCAAUGAACAGUUUGCCUAUUUGGAACAAGAGCUCUGUGCGUUGUCGGAAGAGGAAGAUCAAACCAAGGGUCAUCCCAUCAAAAUUCCUUUUCCAAGAUAUUCUCUUGAAUAUCCGAAAUUAACUUUCCAACACUCAAAUUUCCCUCUACGAUUUUCGUUUCCAUCACUUUCUAGAAAUGAUCUCAUCUUUCAUUCCCUCCCGUCAGAUGUCCCAAUCAAGGCCCAUACAAUGCUCAGAGAAGGAAAAUCCAUCUGGAUAGUUCUCGAUACCAGAUGGAAGUUUGAUUCGGGUGGAUCCGGUCCUCAAUAUUUCCGUUUCCCACAUCUCCAGAUCCCUCAGAUUUAUUUCUUCUCCUACACUUUCUUGAGAAACAAACACAUAUUUACAAGGCCCUUAAGUUUUUCCUUCAUGGCAGGUACAUUUGUUUUCUCACAUUUCUUAUUCUCUAACCUUUGUCUUUGUUGAUGUCACUUUAAAUCCAAAAAGCCAACAACACUUCUUCCACUCCUUGCUAUAUUUCUCUUGUUUAUUUCCUCUCUUUCCCAUGUCUUUCUUCAUUUCCAAUUACUGUCCAACGGACGUGAUUGCCGACAGAUCAUCAUCAAUUUGAGAAUUGCAUGUAAUGUGUUUGAUAAAAGGCCAGAGAAAAUACCAGAAGCUAAGGCAUGACUCACAAGAUGCUUUUCAUGUGUUAAGCAGCGAGGCAGUUCCUCUGUGGGUCCAAAAAUUUUGGUAGUAAAAAACUAAAUGCCUGUUUCUUCUGGUGGGGGAACUGGGAAGUAGUGUUUUCGCUGGACUUCAAACCUUCAUGACCGUUUAGUCGAUGCCAUCACUCAACUAGGUGGGCCAAACAGGGCAACACCGAAAGGUGUUCUAAGAGACAGAUGGUUUUCGAGAUGCUUGGCUUGUUGCGAGUAUUGUUGAAGUAGCGGAGACUGGCCACAAAGUGCUUGCUAGAGAUAAAGCCAUUGGAGUUUAGACGAAGUGUGAUCCUGAUGAUCCACUUGUUUGUCUUACUCUCUUUGAGAAAUUGUUAGCCACCUGGGGCUCUUCAAACUGUCGAAACAUCAGAAUAAAUUUGAUUACCCAAUUGCUUGUGAUGUGUCAGACAGAUUUUCAUGUCCUUUUUGGGUUCAUGAGCAUGAACAUUUCAAAAUUGGUAGUGGAAUCACUCAAAGAUGGAAGUUCUGAUGUAGUUUUAAAGUUUCAUAUGCACACUUUUCAUACAUCAGAAGCUGCAAAAGUCUCAUCUCUACUCUGUGUUGACAAAGAUGAGUAAUGGAGGCGCACGGUUGGAGGCUUUUUUUUGAACCAUUGCUUGAUCUCUGUACUCUAGAAAAUGUUGUCAUUGUUCAUAGAUCUCUACGUAUAUUGCAUGUCUCUUUGAAGCACCUCUUGAGUUUGGAAAGGAAGUUCGAAAGACGGGACAAUGUGAUUGUUGAAGGACUUCGCUCUGGGAACAACAUUGUGGAUUCUCAUGGAUUUGAUAGGGGCAUGUGCUUUGUGAGCGUAAAUGAAAUAUUUUAUUCAAACUCCACUCCACUUGGGGAAUAUAUUACCUGAUGCUAGAAUUUCAGGCAUGGAGACCUGUAAUCAUGAUAUUACUAUUUGAGUUUUGCAUGUAGACUGGUUUUCUCUAGUUGAAUUUAUGCAUCAAAUUUCCAUAAGGAAUCUUGAAGAAUGUGUGAACCUAGAGACAAUCUUAGUGAUGAAUGUGAUUAUAACAAAGUCUAGUGCUUAUAUUGAGAGGGAAAAGUUUGCCCUGACAAUGGUGUUAGAAAGUCUUUCACAAUUGCUGAGAAAGGAAGUUGGCUUGCGAAUGCAAAAGCAUGUUGUGCACGCUUUUAUAAAGAAAAUUCUUGUUUUUGAUCUAGGUGGUGGGACAAUCGUGGGCAAAGAUACAACACCUUGUAGACAAGGUGCUUUUAUGGGGGAUGGUUUGUCACAGUCCACGAAUGGAAUGCUUGGGUCGGGCUUAGGCCAAGUCUAAUCGGGCCUGAUUUACUUAAUUGUCAUCAUGUUAGGGAGUGGGUUGCAGAGUAGCUGGGCCUUGGUUUGUUUUCUUUUGUUAAGUUGCUUAGUAGUCGUGAGUCAUGUUGGAGCAAGGCUAAGGCCUUUUUAUCUAGUGUUUUGCAUUUUAACAUAUAAGGGUACUGUAGCUACUAAAAAUGGAAAUCUAGAAACUUAAUACAAUAUUUUCCUACUUCUUAUCUCUAUCUCUUUUCUCUUGGAGGCUAGGUCAACCUUGAAUUUGACCAUUUUCUUUACAUUUUUUCUCAUAUUUUUCUAGUUAUCCAAACACUACCUAUUAGGUGUGUUAAAUCAUGUUAGUCCAGAUCUUUCAGCGACUCUUCUAUAAAUGAAAAUAAUGAGUCUUGAACAACUCAAUAUCAUUGUCAAAAGAAGAUGAAUCAUUCUCAUAAUCGUGUAUGUAUGUUGUUGGGUAAAUCAGCUAUAUAAGUGUGUUUAAUGCAAUGGGUGGAAUAGCAAGGAAUGGCGGCCCCUCUAAUAUGUAAGAACGAGUGUUACUCUAAUAUUUUUAAUUUUAUUUUACUUUUUGUGGCAUCCCGUUUCUCGGUAAAGAGAUUGGAGAUUCGUGGUGUCGGAGAUGUCAGCGAGUUAGCAACAUCCCAAUUUUUAUUGUUGGCUCUAGGCAUGUAAUCAUGUAUUGAGUAUGUAGUUGGUAAAAUAAGUUUGAAUGGAAUGAGAAAGGAUUAGUUAGAAACUAAUUGCUAAUUGUACAUGGGGUUUAUACCAAAAAGAAAUUCAUUUAUUAAUAAUAGUAAUAUCUAUAUGUCAUUGAUACUUCCCAAAUAAUAUUAUACUCUACCAACCCCAAGGGAUGGUCCAAGUGAUGAAAACCUUGGUCUUUGGAUAUCACUCCCUUCAAGGCUCAAUGUUCAAUACCUCUCAAGGACAAAUAAUUAUUUGGGGCCAUACCCCUUGGUGAAAAGCCAACGAUUAAAUUAGUUUCGUGUAGGGAAACUUUCGAGUGUGUGGUGCCUGGAAUCGGGAUUUACUCUGCAAGAGUGGGUUCAAAGGGCCCUGCUUUGGAGAGGUUCCCCGACAUAAAAAAAAUAUUAUACUCUUACCAACUGUUAAUUAGUUACAUUUAGGUACAACGAACUGAACAUAGUUCAUCUCCUGACUAAAAGGUACAUCUUAACAAUUACAAAUAAUUAAUAGUAGAGACUGACUUUCGUAUUUCCAACUCAGGUAGGAUCGGUGAUUCUUUCUUGGGAAACUUUGCUUGGGUUACAUUUGCAUCAAGAUCUAAGGGUGGGUUUGGGUGUUGAGAAUUGUUGUGAAUAGUAGUAAAAAGUAAGUGGAAAGUAAUAAUAAAGUAAUGAAUAGUAAUAAAAAGUAGGUGAAAAGUAAUAAAUAGUAGUAAAAGUAGGUGGAAAGUAUUUAUAAAAAAAAAGUAGGUGGAAAUUAAUAAUAAAGUAAUGAAUAGUAGUGAGAAGGUACUUUCAGUAUCCAAAUACAGCCUAAGGUUUUGGUUAACAAUAUGGCAGGUGGGACCACCAUAGUAGGUUAAACAACCAUGAUAGUACUAUUAAUGAUGAUAAAUAUGCAUGCACGGUUUUAUGUAAAUUGAUUUAUGAACACAUAUUUAUUCAUGGUGAGGAAUCACCAUUCAAGCAGAAAUACAUGUAUUCAUAGUUAUAGUGAGGAACCACCGUCUGAAUAAAUCACAAAUAUAUAAGGAUGUCAAGGAAUUAUACUCUGAACAAAACUCAUGUAUGCAUAGUUAUUAUCAAGGUGAGGUAUUUCACAUAGUAAAUAUACGAACAUAGGAUUUUCGUACAUUUUCAGUUUCAUUCACAUUGUAUCACAUAUUUUGACUGAAUAAAAUAUUUCUUUGUAGAUGAUAUCAAUACGUUAUCAUUCAUUUCCAUACACUUUAUUAUUCUUCCUAUUAUUUUGUCAGUAAACACUUUUGUAGCCCAUAUCUUAGGAUUAGUGAUCGUUGUGAUCAUAGUUCCACAUGAAAUUGACAGAUGAAACCUAGUAGAUUGAAAUGGUCAUCACAAGUGUAACCAGUGAGCCACCUUGACAUUGCAAUCUGCCCCUCAUCCUUUGGUAACAUAAUUUUGUAACAUUCAUCGGACCUCUCAUUUUAAGUCUCAUGUAUUCAAUCCUUCAUUACUUUAUUUUCAUUCUUUUAUUUCAUUCUUCACAUCAUUCAUUUACAUUUAUAGGGUGUUUGAAUGGAGGCAAUCUUUUAGAGUUUAUAGGAGUUCUAAAAUAUUACUUUGAUUAAAGAGCAAUGUUAUUUUAAGACUUUUACACCACAUACUAUCCAUAUUGUACAAUUUGAUUUGUAAGAUUCAAUCUCCAAUUUCUGUGCUUGGUGAAAAUGAUUCAGCUUCAGCACUUAUUCUUCUAGGCACAACUGUUUGGAAUAAGUCUUUGGUGCAGAUUGUUUUUAAUGAAGAUGAAGUUGAAAUGAUUCUUAAUUAUGUGUAUUAGUCCUUUGGCAAGUGAAGUCAGAAUGGUAUGUGGGUGUACUUAUGAUGAGAGAUUUUAUGUUAAAAGUGCAUCUUAUCUUCAACUCAA